This 276-nucleotide unclassified non-coding RNA is filed under the name Hevea brasiliensis (rubber tree). The record is from RNAcentral. Lineage: Eukaryota; Viridiplantae; Streptophyta; Magnoliopsida; Malpighiales; Euphorbiaceae.
GACAAAGCCUAGAACAGGUGGUACUGGGUUACUCAAGCAUCUGUGUAGGCAACGUAGCAAGGAUACACAAGCAUCAUUAGUUACACGAGGCCGCAGCGCCCGGUAUAUCUGGUGCGAGCGGCAGGCCAGGUGUCUUGAUGUGCAUUCCAUAGCCCAUUUAAGAGCCUCUGCUCCCCAAGUUUCCCGUAGAUCUCCUUGGAAAAAGAUAGCAUCCACCAUGCUCUGCACUAAAGCAGAUAAGAGUGCUGCACUUGGCAGUUCUGUUCUGACAACUGU